GUGUGAAAUGAUGGUAUCAUCUUUCGGGACUGACAUGUCAUGGAGAUGUCUUUCUUUUUUGCUGAUCACGC
This is a small nucleolar RNA of Colossoma macropomum (tambaqui), 71 nucleotides long. RefSeq annotates it as small nucleolar RNA SNORD2. NCBI's taxonomy places the organism in Eukaryota, Metazoa, Chordata, Actinopteri, Characiformes, Serrasalmidae. The record is from RefSeq and is a predicted model, not a curated record. The transcript has a single exon.